AGCAGUGUAGCAUAGCGGUAAGAAGUAAGACUUGUGACCGAAAGGUUGCCGGUUCGAUUCCCCACUGCUG
Molecule: non-coding RNA, 70 nt
Organism: Megalops atlanticus (tarpon)
Lineage: Eukaryota; Metazoa; Chordata; Actinopteri; Elopiformes; Megalopidae
Source: the annotation of a GenBank genome assembly